AGCGAAACUGCGAAUGGCUCAUUAUAUAAGUUAUCGUUUAUUUGAUAGUGCCUUACUACUUGGAUAACCGUGGUAAUUCUAGAGCUAAUACAUGCUAAAAACCCCGACUCCGGGAGGGGUGUAUUUAUUAGAUUAAAAACCAAUGCCCUUCGGGGCUCACUGGUGAUUCAUGAUAACUUCUCGAAUCGCACGGCCUUGCGCCGGCGAUGGUUCAUUCAAAUUUCUUCCCUAUCAACUUUCGAUGUUUGGGUAGUGGCCAAACAUGGUGGCAACGGGUAACGGAGGGUUAGGGCUCGACCCCGGAGAAGGAGCCUGAGAAACGGCUACUACAUCCAAGGAAGGCAGCAGGCGCGCAAAUUACCCAAUCCCGAUACGGGGAGGUAGUGACAAUAAAUACUGAUACAGGGCUCUUUUGGGUCUUGUAAUCGGAAUGAGUACAAUUUAAAUCCCUUAACGAGGAACAAUUGGAGGGCAAGUCUGGUGCCAGCAGCCGCGGUAAUUCCAGCUCCAAUAGCGUAUAUUAAAGUUGUUUGUGGUUAAAAGCUCGUAGUUGAACCUUGCGCCCUGGCUGGCCGGUCCGCCUCACCGCGUGCACUGGUCCGGCCGGGGCUUUCCCUCUGUGGAACCCCAUGCCCUUUACUGGGCGUGGCGGGGAAACAGGACUUUUACUUUGAAAAAAUUAGAGUGCUCCAGGCAGGCCUAUGCUCGAAUACAUUAGCAUGGAAUAAUAGAAUAGGACGUGUGGUUCUAUUUUGUUGGUUUCUAGGACCGCCGUAAUGAUUGAUAGGGACAGUCGGGGGCAUCAGUAUUCAAUUGUCAGAGGUGAAAUUCUUGGAUUUAUUGAAGACUAACUACUGCGAAAGCAUUUGCCAAGGAUGUUUUCAUUAAUCAGGAACGAAAGUUAGGGGAUCGAAGACGAUCAGAUACCGUCGUAGUCUUAACCAUAAACUAUGCCGACUAGGGAUCGGGCGAUGUUUUUCUUUGACUCGCCCGGCACCUUACGAGAAAUCAAAGUGCUUGGGCUCC
This 1026-nucleotide ribosomal RNA is filed under the name Torpedospora ambispinosa. RNAcentral's name for it is "SSU rRNA". It matches the Rfam family "Eukaryotic small subunit ribosomal RNA", at positions 80 to 1115 of the family's 1831-position model. Lineage: Eukaryota; Fungi; Ascomycota; Sordariomycetes; Torpedosporales; Torpedosporaceae. The record is from RNAcentral.